CCUACGGGUGGCAGCAGUAGGGAAUAUUGCGCAAUGGGGGAAACCCUGAAGCAGCAACGCCGCGUGGAGGAGGAGGGUUUUCGGAUGGUAAACUCCGUUUGUUAGAGAGGAUAAUGACGGUAUCUAACGAAUAAGCACCGGCUAACUCCGUGCCAGCAGCCGCGGUAAUACGGAGGGUGCAAGCGUUACUCGGAAUCACUGGGCGUAAAGAGCGCGUAGGCGGGAUGUCAAGUCAGAUGUGAAAGCCUAUGGCUUAACCAUAGAACUGCAUUUGAUACUGUUAUUCUAGAGUAUGGGAGAGGUAGGUGGAAUUCUUGGUGUAGCGGUAAAAUCCGUAGAGAUCAAGAGGAAUACUCAUUGCGAAGGCGAUCUGCUAGAACAUAACUGACGCUGAUGCGCGAAAGCGUGGGUAGCAAACAGGAUUAGAUACCCGAGUAGUC
RNAcentral lists this ribosomal RNA (440 nucleotides) under uncultured bacterium. RNAcentral describes it as "partial 16S ribosomal RNA". It matches the Rfam family "Bacterial small subunit ribosomal RNA", at positions 338 to 795 of the family's 1533-position model. The record is from RNAcentral.